GAUGAACGCUGGCGGCGUGCCUAAUACAUGCAAGUCGAGCGAAUGGAUUAAGAGCUUGCUCUUAUGAAGUUAGCGGCGGACGGGUGAGUAACACGUGGGUAACCUGCCCAUAAGACUAGGAUAACUCCGGGAAACCGGGGCUAAUACCGGAUAACAUUUUGAACCGCAUGGUUCGAAAUAGAAAGGCGGCUUCGGCUGUCACUUAUGGAUGGACGCGCGUCGCAUUAGCUAGUUGGUGAGGUAACGGCUCACCAAGGCAACGAUGCGUAGCCGACCUGAGAGGGUGAUCGGCCACACUGGGACUGAGACACGGCCCAGACUCCUACGGGAGGCAGCAGUAGGGAAUCUUCCGCAAUGGACGAAAGUCUGACGGAGCAACGCCGCGUGAGUGAUGAAGGCUUUCGGGUCGUAAAACUCUGUUGUUAGGGAAGAACAAGUGCUAGUUGAAUAAGCUGGCACCUUGACGGUACCUAACCAGAAAGCCACGGCUAACUACGUGCCAGCAGCCGCAGUAA
RNAcentral lists this ribosomal RNA (515 nucleotides) under uncultured bacterium. Its description in RNAcentral is "partial 16S ribosomal RNA". It matches the Rfam family "Bacterial small subunit ribosomal RNA", at positions 28 to 523 of the family's 1533-position model. The record is from RNAcentral.